GGACUACUGGGGUAUCUAAUCCUGUUUGCUCCCCUAGCUUUCGCAGAUCAGCGUCAGUGAUGGCCCAGAAGCCUGCUUUCGCCAUAGGUAUUCCUCCCGAUAUCUACGCAUUUCACCGCUACACCGGGAAUUCCAGCUUCCUCUGCCACACUCUAGCCGGGUAGUUUCCUUUGACCUCUCCCAGUUAAGCCAGGAGCUUUCACAAAAGACUUACCCAACCGCCUACCUGCGCUUUACGCCUAGUGAUUCCGAGUAUCGCUUGCCACCUACGUAUUACCGCGGCUGCUGGCAC
Molecule: ribosomal RNA, 292 nt
Filed under: uncultured bacterium
Lineage: Bacteria
Description: partial 16S ribosomal RNA
Source: RNAcentral